GCGCUGACGAGUGGCGGACGGGUGAGUAACGCGUAGGAAUCUGCCUUAUAGUGGGGGACAACGUGGGGAAACCCACGCUAAUACCGCAUACGCCCUACGGGGGAAAGGAGGGGAUCUUCGGACCUUUCGCUAUGAGAUGAGCCUGCGUUAGAUUAGCUUGUUGGUGGGGUAAAGGCCUACCAAGGCGACGAUCUAUAGCUGUUCUGAGAGGGUGAUCGGCCACACUGGAACUGAGACACGGUCCAGACUCC
This 251-nucleotide ribosomal RNA is filed under the name uncultured bacterium. RNAcentral describes it as "partial 16S ribosomal RNA". It matches the Rfam family "Bacterial small subunit ribosomal RNA", at positions 85 to 339 of the family's 1533-position model. The record is from RNAcentral.